UACUCAUGGUGAGGACACAUACUCAACAACUCUUUAAACCUCUCCCAAGCUUGAUACAAAGUCUCACUAUUCUUUUGUGCAAAGGUGAAGAUCUGUCUCUUCAAAGCA
Molecule: small nucleolar RNA, 108 nt
Organism: Juglans microcarpa x Juglans regia
Lineage: Eukaryota; Viridiplantae; Streptophyta; Magnoliopsida; Fagales; Juglandaceae
Source: RefSeq, a predicted model, not a curated record